UCCUGGCUCAGGAUGAACGCUGGCGGCGUGCCUAAUACAUGCAAGUCGAGCGAACGGACGAGAAGCUUGCUUCUCUGAUGUUAGCGGCGGACGGGUGAGUAACACGUGGAUAACCUACCUAUAAGACUGGGAUAACUUCGGGAAACCGGAGCUAAUACCGGAUAAUAUUUUGAACCGCAUGGUUCAAAAGUGAAAGACGGUCUUGCUGUCACUUAUAGAUGGAUCCGCGCUGCAUUAGCUAGUUGGUAAGGUAACGGCUUACCAAGGCAACGAUGCAUAGCCGACCUGAGAGGGUGAUCGGCCACACUGGAACUGAGACACGGUCCAGACUCCUACGGGAGGCAGCAGUAGGGAAUCUUCCGCAAUGGGCGAAAGCCUGACGGAGCAACGCCGCGUGAGUGAUGAAGGUCUUCGGAUCGUAAAACUCUGUUAUUAGGGAAGAACAUAUGUGUAAGUAACUGUGCACAUCUUGACGGUACCUAAUCAGAAAGCCACGGCUAACUACGUGCCAGCAGCCGCGGUAAUACGUAGGUGGCAAGCGUUAUCCGGAAUUAUUGGGCGUAAAGCGCGCGUAGGCGGUUUUUUAAGUCUGAUGUGAAAGCCCACGGCUCAACCGUGGAGGGUCAUUGGAAACUGGAAAACUUGAGUGCAGAAGAGGAAAGUGGAAUUCCAUGUGUAGCGGUGAAAUGCGCAGAGAUAUGGAGGAACACCAGUGGCGAAGGCGACUUUCUGGUCUGUAACUGACGCUGAUGUGCGAAAGCGUGGGGAUCAAACAGGAUUAGAUACCCUGGUAGUCCACGCCGUAAACGAUGAGUGCUAAGUGUUAGGGGGUUUCCGCCCCUUAGUGCUGCAGCUAACGCAUUAAGCACUCCGCCUGGGGAGUACGACCGCAAGGUUGAAACUCAAAGGAAUUGACGGGGACCCGCACAAGCGGUGGAGCAUGUGGUUUAAUUCGAAGCAACGCGAAGAACCUUACCAAAUCUUGACAUCCUUUGACAACUCUA
Molecule: ribosomal RNA, 1004 nt
Filed under: Staphylococcus aureus
Lineage: Bacteria; Bacillati; Bacillota; Bacilli; Caryophanales; Staphylococcaceae
Description: bacterial SSU rRNA
Rfam family: Bacterial small subunit ribosomal RNA
Source: RNAcentral